GCCAGGCAUGGUGGCUCAUGCCUGUAAUCCCAGCACUUUGGGAGGCUGAGGCGGGUGGAUCACUUGAGGCCAGGAGUUCGAGACCAGCCUGGCCAAUAUGGUGAAACCCUGUCUCUA
Molecule: non-coding RNA, 117 nt
Filed under: Chlorocebus sabaeus (green monkey)
Lineage: Eukaryota; Metazoa; Chordata; Mammalia; Primates; Cercopithecidae
Source: Rfam by way of RNAcentral